Molecule: long non-coding RNA, 521 nt
Filed under: Rattus norvegicus (Norway rat)
Lineage: Eukaryota; Metazoa; Chordata; Mammalia; Rodentia; Muridae
Description: long non-coding RNA NONRATT016267
Source: RNAcentral
AACAGGAAACUCUGUUGCCCAGAGUUAUAUAUACAUGGUGUGUGGUUUUCGGGUUUGAGCAUAGAUGAGAAUCACUGCCUAUUCUCUUUUUAUUUAACUUUUUAUUGAUUCUUUAUGAAUUUCACAUCAUGCAUCCCAAUCCCAUUCAUCUCCCUAUCCCUUUAUUUUUUUUUAUUUUUUUUAAUUUUUCUUUUUUUUUUUAUUAACUUGAGUAUUUCUUAUAUACAUUUCAAGUGUUAUUCCCUUUCCCGGUUUCCGGACAAACAUCACCCUCCCCCCUCCCCUUCCUUAUGGGUGUUCCCCUCCCAAACCUCCCCCCAUUGCCACCCUCCCCGCAUAGUCUAGUUCACUGGGGGUUCAGUCUUAGCAGGACCCAGGGCUUCCCCUUCCACUGGUGCUCUUACUAGGAUAUUCAUUGCUACCUAUGGGGACAGAGUCCAGGGUCAGUCCAUGUAUAGUCUUUAGGUAGUGGCUUAGUCCCUGGAAGCUCUGGUUGCUUGACAUUGUUGUACUUUUGGGGU